AUGCGGUUAUUGAUAGACAGAAGAAUCAUGGUAUCCACUUUGGUACCGCAGUAGGUAAACUUGAAGGUGAAAGAGACAUAACUUUGGGCUUUGUUGAUUUACUGCGUGAUGAUUUUGUUGAACAAGAUCGAAGUCGCGGUAUUUAUCCAAAAUGGGUAAGGGCCCAACUCUUUUAUCUUGUAGAAGUAUGAGGCACGAAGUCCCCAAAUUCGGUAUAGUCACCAACAUCGAUCAAAAAUAGCUAAGCUGGUGGGAGGAUCUUCAUUCCAGCGAUCAGAAUCUUGUCCGGAAAUAUCUGGGAAACCUACCUUCUCUCCCGGAAAAUCGACCCAACAAUAAAAUCAUAGAAGCUACCACUUUGUUCUUGGAUUGUGAGAGAUCCGUGUUCCGCUUCGAAGACAUUUAAAUGACACCCUUACUAUAAGAGAUAGGAGGAUUGGGCGGCAUAGCACGGGAGACUCCAGGUUUGUUACAUGCGGUUAUUGAUAGACAGAAGAAUCAUGGUAUCCACUUUGGUACCGCAGUAGGUAAACUUGAAGGUGAAAGAGACAUAACUUUGGGCUUUGUUGAUUUACUGCGUGAUGAUUUUGUUGAACGAGAUCGAAGUCGCGGUAUUUAUUUCACUCAAGAUUGGGUCUCUUUACCAGGUGUUCUACCCGUGGCUUCAGGAGGUAUUCACGUUUGGCAUAUACCUGCUCUGACCGAGAUCUUUGGGGAUGAUUCCGUACUACAGUUCGGUGGAGGAACUUUAGGAUUCGUAUUCCAAGUCCGUUAGUAAGAGUUUACGGUGGGUGGGUAAGCA
RNAcentral lists this long non-coding RNA (802 nucleotides) under Nicotiana benthamiana. RNAcentral describes it as "long non-coding RNA (NBEN_LNC033644)". The record is from RNAcentral. Lineage: Eukaryota; Viridiplantae; Streptophyta; Magnoliopsida; Solanales; Solanaceae.